AGUCGAGCGGUAGAGAGAAGCUUGCUUCUCUUGAGAGCGGCGGACGGGUGAGUAAUGCCUAGGAAUCUGCCUGGUAGUGGGGGAUAACGUUCGGAAACGGACGCUAAUACCGCAUACGUCCUACGGGAGAAAGCAGGGGACCUUCGGGCCUUGCGCUAUCAGAUGAGCCUAGGUCGGAUUAGCUAGUUGGUGGGGUAAUGGCUCACCAAGGCGACGAUCCGUAACUGGUCUGAGAGGAUGAUCAGUCACACUGGAACUGAGACACAGUCCAGACUCCUACGGGAGGCAGCAGUGGGGAAUAUUGGACAAUGGGCGAAAGCCUGAUCCAGCCAUGCCGCGUGUGUGAAGAAGGUCUUCGGAUUGUAAAGCACUUUAAGUUGGGAGGAAGGGCAGUAAAUUAAUACUUUGCUGUUUUGACGUUACCGACAGAAUAAGCACCGGCUAACUCUGUGCCAGCAGCCGCGGUAAUACAGAGGGUGCAAGCGUUAAUCGGAAUUACUGGGCGUAAAGCGCGCGUAGGUGGUUCGUUAAGUUGGAUGUGAAAUCCCCGGGCUCAACCUGGGAACUGCAUUCAAAACUGACGAGCUAGAGUAUGGUAGAGGGUGGUGGAAUUUCCUGUGUAGCGGUGAAAUGCGUAGAUAUAGGAAGGAACACCAGUGGCGAAGGCGACCACCUGGACUGAUACUGACACUGAGGUGCGAAAGCGUGGGGAGCAAACAGGAUUAGAUACCCUGGUAGUCCACGCCGUAAACGAUGUCAACUAGCCGUUGGGAGCCUUGAGCUCUUAGUGGCGCAGCUAACGCAUUAAGUUGACCGCCUGGGGAGUACGGCCGCAAGGUUAAAACUCAAAUGAAUUUGACGGGGGCCCGCACAAGCGGUGGAGCAUGGUGGUUUAAUUCGAAGCAACGCGAAGAACCUUACCAGGGCCUUGACAUCCAAUGACUUUUCUAGGAGAUAGAUUGGUGCUUCGGGACAUUGAGACAGGUGCUGCAU
Molecule: ribosomal RNA, 993 nt
Filed under: uncultured bacterium
Lineage: Bacteria
Description: bacterial SSU rRNA
Rfam family: Bacterial small subunit ribosomal RNA
Source: RNAcentral